RNAcentral lists this ribosomal RNA (431 nucleotides) under Bacillota bacterium. Its description in RNAcentral is "Firmicutes bacterium partial 16S ribosomal RNA". It matches the Rfam family "Bacterial small subunit ribosomal RNA", at positions 355 to 777 of the family's 1533-position model. The record is from RNAcentral. Lineage: Bacteria; Bacillati; Bacillota.
UGGGGAAUAUUGGACAAUGGGCGCAAGCCUGAUCCAGCCAUGCCGCGUGUGUGAAGAAGGCCUUUUGGUUGUAAAGCACUUUAAGCGAGGAGGAGGCUACUUGGAUUAAUAGUCUAGGAUAGUGGACGUUACUCGCAGAAUAAGCACCGGCUAACUCUGUGCCAGCAGCCGCGGUAAUACAGAGGGUGCGAGCGUUAAUCGGAUUUACUGGGCGUAAAGCGUGCGUAGGCGGCUUCUUAAGUCGGAUGUGAAAUCCCUGAGCUUAACUUAGGAAUUGCAUUCGAUACUGGGAAGCUAGAGUAUGGGGGAGGAUGGGAGAAUUCCAGGUGUAGCGGUGAAAUGCGUAGAGAUCUGGAGGGAUACCGAUGGGGAAGGCAGGCAUCCGGCCUAAUACUGACGCUGGGGUACGAAAGCAUGGGGGGCAAAAAGGA